This 238-nucleotide ribosomal RNA is filed under the name uncultured bacterium. Its description in RNAcentral is "partial 16S ribosomal RNA". It matches the Rfam family "Bacterial small subunit ribosomal RNA", at positions 96 to 334 of the family's 1533-position model. The record is from RNAcentral.
UGGCGGACGGGUGAGUAACGCGUGGGUAACCUGCCUUGUACUGGGGGACAACAGUUAGAAAUGACUGCUAAUACCGCAUAAGCGCACAGUAUCGCAUGAUACGGUGUGAAAAACUCCGGUGGUACAAGAUGGACCCGCGUCUGAUUAGCUAGUUGGUAAGGUAACGGCUUACCAAGGCGACGAUCAGUAGCCGACCUGAGAGGGUGACCGGCCACAUUGGGACUGAGACACGGCCCAA